This 497-nucleotide ribosomal RNA is filed under the name uncultured bacterium. RNAcentral describes it as "partial 16S ribosomal RNA". It matches the Rfam family "Bacterial small subunit ribosomal RNA", at positions 28 to 507 of the family's 1533-position model. The record is from RNAcentral.
GAUGAACGCUGGCGGCGUGCCUAAUACAUGCAAGUCGAGCGAACAGACGAGGAGCUUGCUCCUCUGACGUUAGCGGCGGACGGGUGAGUAACACGUGGAUAACCUACCUAUAAGACUGGGAUAACUUCGGGAAACCGGAGCUAAUACCGGAUAAUAUAUUGAACCGCAUGGUUCAAUAGUGAAAGACGGUUUUGCUGUCACUUAUAGAUGGAUCCGCGCCGCAUUAGCUAGUUGGUAAGGUAACGGCUUACCAAGGCGACGAUGCGUAGCCGACCUGAGAGGGUGAUCGGCCACACUGGAACUGAGACACGGUCCAGACUCCUACGGGAGGCAGCAGUAGGGAAUCUUCCGCAAUGGGCGAAAGCCUGACGGAGCAACGCCGCGUGAGUGAUGAAGGUCUUCGGAUCGUAAAACUCUGUUAUUAGGGAAGAACAAAUGUGUAAGUAACUAUGCACGUCUUUACGGUACCUAAUCAGAAAGCCACGGCUAACUACGUG